RNAcentral lists this ribosomal RNA (484 nucleotides) under uncultured bacterium. RNAcentral's name for it is "partial 16S ribosomal RNA". It matches the Rfam family "Bacterial small subunit ribosomal RNA", at positions 30 to 507 of the family's 1533-position model. The record is from RNAcentral.
AGUGAACGCUGGCGGCAGGCCUAACACAUGCAAGUCGAGCGGCAGCGCGGGGGCAACCCUGGCGGCGAGCGGCGGACGGGUGAGGAAUUCGUCGGAAUCUGCCUCUUUGUGGGGGAUAACGUAUGGAAACUUACGCUAAUACCGCAUACGUCCUACGGGAGAAAGUGGGGGACCGCAAGGCCUCACGCAGAAAGAUGAGCCGACGACCGAUUAGCUAGUUGGUGGGGUAAAGGCCCACCAAGGCGACGAUCGGUAGCUGGUCUGAGAGGAGGAUCAGCCACACUGGGACGGAGACACGGCCCAGACUCCUACGGGAGGCAGCAGUGGGGAAUGUUGGACAAUGGGCGCAAGCCUGAUCCAGCCAUGCCGCGUGUGUGAAGAAGGCCUUCGGGUUGUAAAGCACUUUUGUCCGGAAAGAAAUCCCUGGAGCUAAUACCUUCGGGGGAUGACGGUAACGGAAGAAUAAGCACCGGCUAACUUCGUG